This 1553-nucleotide long non-coding RNA is filed under the name Ananas comosus (pineapple). Its description in RNAcentral is "long non-coding RNA (ACOM_LNC026505)". Lineage: Eukaryota; Viridiplantae; Streptophyta; Magnoliopsida; Poales; Bromeliaceae. The record is from RNAcentral.
UUUUUUUUUUUUUUAAAUCCUGACCCCAGAGUAUGCCAGACCCGCCACAAAUACAGAGAUUCCACUGUUCACACGGACAGAGUCUCCCCUGUAUUUGCACGGCGUCGCACAAGUACAACAGUACAAACAGGAUACAACCACAAUUAUAUGAAUAUAGAAAUCACCAUACAUUCAUACAUUCACCAUUCACAUCACAGAUAUGCAUUCAAUGUCUAAAUAUAAAUCCAUAGAAAAUCUUUUGAAAACUGUUCCCUACACAGGAACCUUUAUUCUUUAAAAAACGCUACCACGAGGGGUAGAAAACCUUUUAUUUUACAAAAUCCAGAAAUCCACANAUUUUCUCAAAAUCCGUGCAUCAAACUCAAAAUCCGUCAGCGCCAGUAGUUCCAGAAUAGUUGAAUCCUUCGAAAUGAGCUAUUGGACUGCUAUGAACGGAGUCCGAUACGCACCAGAAGCCAACUCUACUCCGUGGCCUCUUCGGAAAACCGGAGUUACUAUUCACUUAAGUGAAAACUAAUAAUCGCGUAACUUCUCCGUUUUAGCUCAUUUUCUCCUGAAACUUGACGAGUGCUUAUGUAAUUAAAUUACACACAUAAACAUCGUCAACAAAGAGUUUAGUUGCACUGUCAAAAAAAUCUCAGUCCUUACACCGUAUGCCAUGCCCACGAGAUCCUCGGGCAACGCAGUUGCCUCUUAGAAAAUAGAAAUUGCCUCUUAGAAAAUAGAAACUAAUGAGACGAGGAGUCGAAGCAGCGACGUUACAGAGAAGGAAUUAAUGAGACAGAAAGCCAAAAAGGCAGACGUUACAGGAAAAGAAUUAAUGAGAUGGAAAGCCGAAGAGGCAUGCGUUAUAGGAAAGGAAUUAAUGAGACGGAAAGCUGAACAGGCAGACGUUACGAGGAGGGUGAGUGAUCGCAAUAAUUGGAUAGUAGAAAUUUUGAAAAGGAGAGACUAUGAUGUUGCCAUGUGGCAAAAGCUUAUGGAAAAUAAUGUAUGUGUAUAGAUAUAGAUGGAGACAAAAUAUUUAGUGACAAAGUAUAUUUUUGUCGUUAAAAGUAAUUAAAUAACGACUAAAUUUACUGUUCGUCGCCAAAAAAAAAAGAAGAGAUUUUGUAAAAUGUAAUUAGCGACAAUUUACCUUUAUUGCUAAAACAUAGUCGCUAUUAGUUUAAUGGGGUCACUUUUUUCUUCCCUAAAUUAAUUUUAGCGACAGACGAUAAUUAAUAGCGUCGAAAUCUAACGUCACUAUAAGGUUGAAUAAUUAGCGACCAAGUAUUUGGUUGCUGAAAGUCAAUUUUUAGCAACACAUUAAUACUUCAUCACUAAAUAUUAAAAAUUUAUUUUAAUUUUUGUUGCUAUAUAUUUAUGAAAUAAAAUUUAAAUUAUUUUAUUUGGUUAAAUUAAAUAUUUUACUUAAAUUAAAUAUUUUACUUCAUUUAACUAUAAUAUUUUUUUUAUUAGUGCUUAAUUCUUAUAAUUUUAUUAAUUAAUUAAAAUUUAUGAAAUAUUGAUGAUUUGUUAUAAUUUUGAUCUUAUAUGGUUGUUUUGAAAUU